CCUACGGGGGGCAGCAGUGGGGAAUAUUGGACAAUGGGCGAAAGCCUGAUCCAGCCAUGCCGCGUGUGUGAAGAAGGCCUUCGGGUUGUAAAGCACUUUCAGUGGGGAAGAAAGCCUUGGGGCUAAUACCCUCGAGGAAGGACAUCACCCACAGAAGAAGCACCGGCUAACUCCGUGCCAGCAGCCGCGGUAAUACGGAGGGUGCGAGCGUUAAUCGGAAUUACUGGGCGUAAAGCGCGCGUAGGCGGUCUGAUAAGCCGGUUGUGAAAGCCCCGGGCUCAACCUGGGAACGGCAUCCGGAACUGUCAGGGUAGGGUUCAGGAGAGGAAGGUAGAAUUCCCGGUGUAGCGGUGAAAUGCGUAGAGAUCGGGAGGAAUACCAGUGGCGAAGGCGGCCUUCUGGACUGACACUGACGCUGAGGUGCGAAAGCGUGGGUAGCAAACAGGAUUAGAUACCCGAGUAGUC
Molecule: ribosomal RNA, 465 nt
Filed under: Vreelandella stevensii
Lineage: Bacteria; Pseudomonadati; Pseudomonadota; Gammaproteobacteria; Oceanospirillales; Halomonadaceae
Description: partial 16S ribosomal RNA
Rfam family: Bacterial small subunit ribosomal RNA
Source: RNAcentral